Molecule: ribosomal RNA, 409 nt
Filed under: uncultured bacterium
Lineage: Bacteria
Description: bacterial SSU rRNA
Rfam family: Bacterial small subunit ribosomal RNA
Source: RNAcentral
GUUUGAUCCUGGCUCAGAUUGAACGCUGGCGGCAUGCUUUACACAUGCAAGUCGAACGGCAGCACGGGGGCAACCCUGGUGGCGAGUGGCGAACGGGUGAGUAAUAUAUCGGAACGUACCCGGAAAUGGGGGAUAACGUAGCGAAAGUUACGCUAAUACCGCAUAUGCCCUAAGGGGGAAAGCGGGGGAUUCGCAAGAACCUCGCGUUUUCGGAGCGGCCGAUAUCGGAUUAGCUAGUAGGUGAGGUAAAGGCUCACCUAGGCGACGAUCCGUAGCUGGUCUGAGAGGACGACCAGCCACACUGGAACUGAGACACGGUCCAGACUCCUACGGGAGGCAGCAGUGGGGAAUUUUGGACAAUGGGCGCAAGCCUGAUCCAGCCAUGCCGCGUGAGUGAAGAAGGCCUCGG